GACCUAAUAGCGAAGUUGGUAUCGCAUCCUGCCGUUGAAAAAUAAUCCAACGGUUUCUGUGGAAGCCCUUCGUUCGAAUCUAGGUGAGGUCA
Mycena rebaudengoi is the source of this 92-nucleotide non-coding RNA. The record is from the annotation of a GenBank genome assembly. NCBI's taxonomy places the organism in Eukaryota, Fungi, Basidiomycota, Agaricomycetes, Agaricales, Mycenaceae.